ACGAACGCUGGCGGCAGGCCUAACACAUGCAAGUCGGACGGUAGCACAGAGAGCUUGCUCUCGGGUGACGAGUGGCGGACGGGUGAGUAAUGUCUGGGGAUCUGCCCGAUAGAGGGGGAUAACCACUGGAAACGGUGGCUAAUACCGCAUAACGUCGCAAGACCAAAGAGGGGGACCUUCGGGCCUCUCACUAUCGGAUGAACCCAGAUGGGAUUAGCUAGUAGGCGGGGUAAUGGCCCACCUAGGCGACGAUCCCUAGCUGGUCUGAGAGGAUGACCAGCCACACUGGAACUGAGACACGGUCC
RNAcentral lists this ribosomal RNA (305 nucleotides) under uncultured Pantoea sp. RNAcentral describes it as "bacterial SSU rRNA". It matches the Rfam family "Bacterial small subunit ribosomal RNA", at positions 29 to 332 of the family's 1533-position model. The record is from RNAcentral. Lineage: Bacteria; Pseudomonadati; Pseudomonadota; Gammaproteobacteria; Enterobacterales; Erwiniaceae.